Non-coding RNA from Phascolarctos cinereus (koala), 852 nucleotides. Lineage: Eukaryota; Metazoa; Chordata; Mammalia; Diprotodontia; Phascolarctidae. The record is from RefSeq and is a predicted model, not a curated record.
GAAAGCAGUGCAGCUCUGCUGUGAAGGUGGGAAGGCAGUGACUGCAGCUUUCAGCUUCUUUUUCAUUCUGGGGAUGCUUGCAAGCAGCACAGGGAUUCUAUCCUGGGAUUUGGAAAGUAGCCCCCAUCACAGUGAACUUUUAGACUUUAGAGAGCUUGGAGAAAGGAGACAGGCAGAGUCGAACUGAAAAAGAGCAAAAUGGCUGCAUGCACCGGGAGUUUCUGGAUGUCUUUCCCUUUUCACCAGUUCUGGGAAUCAUACUUGGCAAUCUCUGACCACCACCCUAAACCAGUUCAUCAUGGUCUUGCCACCAUUAGAAGAACCUCUUUUGCGAAGGGUAUGCCCUAAAAAAGAUUUCCUUCUUGAUAUGAGAAUGGGAGAAAGGAUUAACGGACUGGCAAUCAGUGGACAAAUCAAACAAGCAGUAAAAGUGUUUCCUGUGAUGUUUUCCUCCCUUUUGGACUCUUCUCAUCUCUGAGAAGAAGCCUUGAAGAUGCCUCACCUCUGCAAUUACAUUUCAUGGAAGCAAUGAAUAUGACCUUGGACAGACUUCAGGAGACAGUGGAGGAUAGAAGGGCUUUGCAUACUAUAGUCCACCGGCUCACAAAGAGUCAGGCACGGCUGAAUGAAUGAACAACAACUUGGAGAUUGGUUUCUUUAAAAUGAGUCACUUACGAUACAGAUUUCUUAUAUAAGUAUUUGGUCAGAUUCCAAUAUCAUCUUCUUAAAUGCAAGUGCCAUUUCCUUACAUGUUGUUCAGUUGUUUCUGAUUCUUUCUUGGCAGAUACUAUAGUGUUUUGCCGUUUCCCAUUCUAGCUCAUUUUACAGAAGAGGAAACUGAGGCAAACUAAG